GUCGUGAGAUGUUGGGUUAAGUCCCGCAACGAGCGCAACCCUCGUCCCUAGUUACCAGCGGGUAAAGCCGGGAACUCUAGGGAGACUGCCGGUGUCAAACCGGAGGAAGGUGGGGACGACGUCAAGUCAUCAUGGCCCUUACGUCCAGGGCGACACACGUGCUACAAUGGCCGGUACAGGGCGUCGCUAACUCGCAAGAGUACGCUAAUCGCUAAAAGCCGGUCUAAGUUCGGAUUGUGGGCUGCAACUCGCCCACAUGAAGCCGGAAUCGCUAGUAAUCGCGGAUCAGCCACGCCGCGGUGAAUACGUUCCCGGGCCUUGUACACACCGCCCGUCACGCCAUGGAAGUUGGGGGGACCUGAAGCCGGUGGGCUAACCCGCAAGGGAGGCAGCCGUCAAAGGUCAAUCCAAUGACUGGGGCGAAGUCGUAACAAGGUAGCCGUAGGGGAACCUGCGGCUGGAUCACCUCCUUUCUGGAGCAUCGAGUAGACGGUCGGCUUGCCGAUCCGCCGAAAGAUCUCUAGUUGUCGCUCCGCACCUCAAACUCUCUCUCACAUACGCUCGGUCGCUCUUUGACAACCGAAGGACAUGGAUGGGGAUCAUGACGUGAUAAGCGUCAUGAUUCAUAGAUCGCGGAAUCACUCAACGAUGUGUUGAGUAGUAAAGAACCAAUCGAAUUUGAGGUCAAACGCAAUAAGGCACACGGUGGAUGCCUUGGCACCAAGAGGCGAUGAAGGGCGCGAUAAGCUGCGAAAAGCCUGGGGGAGUCGCACAUAGGCUGCGAUCCCAGGAUGC
This 795-nucleotide small RNA is filed under the name uncultured Gemmatimonas sp. RNAcentral describes it as "bacterial SSU rRNA". The stretch from base 1 to 473 matches the Rfam family "Bacterial small subunit ribosomal RNA", at positions 1064 to 1533 of the family's 1533-position model. The record is from RNAcentral. Lineage: Bacteria; Pseudomonadati; Gemmatimonadota; Gemmatimonadia; Gemmatimonadales; Gemmatimonadaceae.